GCGGACUACCAGAGUCCGCUGGGAUGUAGCCCAAACCGGGCUGAACCGCAAA
This 52-nucleotide non-coding RNA is filed under the name unclassified sequences. The record is from Rfam.